GAAAUGCGAUAAGUAGUGUGAAUUGCAGAAUUCAGUGAAUCAUCGAAUCUUUGAACGCACAUUGCGCCCUUUGGUAUUCCUUAGGGCAUGCCUGUUCGAGCGUCAUCUAAACCUUCAAGCCCUGCUUGGUGUUGGGUGCCUGUCCCGCCUCCGCGCGCGGACUCACCUCAAAUCCAUUGGCGGCCCCCGCGUCGGCCACGAGCGCAGCAGAAACGCGAACUCGUGAGCCCGUCCGGGCGGCUCCCAGAAGCUACACCCACCCAGUUUGACCUCGGAUCAGGUAGGGAUACGCGCUGAACUUAAGC
Molecule: unclassified non-coding RNA, 305 nt
Filed under: plant metagenome
Description: partial contains 5.8S ribosomal RNA, internal transcribed spacer 2, and large subunit ribosomal RNA
Rfam family: 5.8S ribosomal RNA (bases 1-105)
Source: RNAcentral